GAUCCUGGCUCAGGAUGAACGCUGGCGGCGUGCUUAACACAUGCAAGUCGAGCGAAGCGCUUAGGAAAGAUUCUUCGGAUGAUUUCCUAUUUGACUGAGCGGCGGACGGGUGAGUAACGCGUGGGUAACCUGCCUCAUACAGGGGGAUAACAGUUAGAAAUGACUGCUAAUACCGCAUAAGACCACAGCACCGCAUGGUGCAGGGGUAAAAACGUACCGGUGGUAUGAGAUGGACCCGCGU
RNAcentral lists this ribosomal RNA (241 nucleotides) under uncultured bacterium. RNAcentral describes it as "partial 16S ribosomal RNA". It matches the Rfam family "Bacterial small subunit ribosomal RNA", at positions 15 to 236 of the family's 1533-position model. The record is from RNAcentral.